Alligator mississippiensis (American alligator) is the source of this 7042-nucleotide long non-coding RNA. RefSeq lists it as uncharacterized. The transcript has 3 exons. NCBI's taxonomy places the organism in Eukaryota, Metazoa, Chordata, Crocodylia, Alligatoridae. The record is from RefSeq and is a predicted model, not a curated record.
GAGUUGCUGGCUCAGGUUGGUUAAAAGAUACCAGGGGUCAGUUUCUGACCUGGGCUGGUUGGUGUAAAUCCAGAGCAACUCCACUGACAGAGAUAAGAGCUAGGCUCUGAGCUUUCCCAUGAUACAUGCUCUGGGUACGUCAGCUUUCCCAUGAUACGUGCUUUGGGUCUGUCAGCUUUCCCUUGUUUUGUGCUAAGGGUAAUUAAGCUAUUGCUACAGCAAUAGCACAUCAGGGAGAUGCCACUUGCCCAGGGCAGGGCUCUGCUACUGGAACAGGUUUCACUUUGGGCCUGGCCACUGAUUCACUGCCCAGCCCUCAGCAAGUCUCUUAAUAACACCUGCAACAUAUGGGCUUUAUAAAGGAAAGGUGUCAGUCAAUCAUCCCCGCCUGAACACAAGUGAAGGGGCAGGUAGGAUGCUAAUUAGCUGCUGCCGUUCCACACAAUAGGGAGAAACCCUCUGGGUCCCUUCCCCAUAUUACAGCUUGAGCGGCCCAAGUGGUUGUUUCAGGGCAGAACAGAGAUGAAGUCACAAGCCUGUGCCUCAGGGCUUGUAUUUGGGGAAUUUAGACCCAGGCAAAAUCCCCCUGCUUCAGCAGAACUGGCUGGAGCUUGAGUAGCACCCAGCUGCUUCCAUCAGCACUGGUUGCAUUUGCUUUUUCAGCAGGGUUAAUUGACAUGACUACAAGGACCUCACCCACAGAAGCCCUGUCUGCAUUAUGGCUCCUAGAUCAGCUAAGCCAGUGAUGGGUUUGGUAGGAUUCACUUGAUAAAUGCUCCUGCUGUAGGGUCUCACAGAUUGUGAUCAGGGGCAGUGUUUAGCUGGAGCAUUUUGAGCCCCUUGGGCCUGGCAGUGAGGACAGAAUUAAAUGCCUGUAGGACCAAGUAACUGAUGAAUUCAAUACAGUGCUACUGGUCUGGAUAGGCUCUUUCUGGGGCAGAUGCUGCUGCUAUAACAGCUGAGCAGGAGGGAGUGCUUUGGUAGGGAAAUUCUGCUAGGCUCUUUCCCUGGGAGAAGUCCUACAGGUCCUUGCUGUCCAUGUACAGCAAACAGAGCUGUGGUUUGUAUCCAUAAGAAGAGCUGAGUGCUGUUCACCUCUGCCAGGCUGAGCCCAACAUGUGGGAGUCAGACUGUGACUUUAAUACCAGCAUGCUGCAGAGACCCCUGAGCUAGCUCUGUAUCCACUAGCUUUGCAUAGGAAGCAGCAUAAUUGCAAUGUUGUACAAAGGCAGCUCUGCACCUCCUGUUCCAGAACUGUGUGCGAUCGCGUGUAAAGCUGCAGCAUGAUGCUUGUGGGAAUGGGUAGGUUAGGGGUCAGCUACUGAGUAUGUUAGUGGUACAGCUGGGAAGAGAUAUGGGGGCCUUGACAUCCCAACCCUGUGCCCUACCCUCCAGACCAUGCGGAGGGGGUUAAGAAGAGAGGUAUUUCCAGGGCUGAACUUAACUCAUGAAAAUGCCUUUCCUCGCUGUAGAUGUCCAGCACCCAGCUCUCCUAGUCUCUAGAGCAGGGUGGAAGGAAAAAAUUCUCUGUACCUGCGGCUUCUUCCUGGGCCGGCCCCGUCCUCUCUUCUCGGAGACAUCCUUCUCCUGUUUUGAAGCCAGGGGUUGGCUGGAUUUUGCACUGGAUUCACUCAUUUUUCUAUCUUCUGGGUCAUGCAAGAGAGAAGACAGGAGGGUGCUGUACAAAAGCCACAGGAAGUGAGUUCAUCCCCCGCAGAGGGCAGUCGACAGGACAAGCCAAGUAGUUUUAACCAAGCCGCUCUACUGCUGGGCAAGCAGAGGCACAGAUGGAAGAGGUGACGCGUCCAAGGGUAUGCAGAGAGCCCAGAAGGGGCCUUAACCUCAAGGCCAACUUCUCACUCUGCUUGCACGACUCCCAGUAAAACCCCACCCAGCUACAGUGAUAAUAUUUUCUGGUUCAACUACCUCUGUUACCCCAAAUCUCUGCACCCUGUGGACUGUCCACAGCUGGAUCUUCAAUGUGUGGACAGCAAACUGCACCCUGCAGUAGCCUUUCCUAUUUUUUCAGUGGAUUCUGCCAGAAGCUAGGAAGAGAGAGGGGUCUAACAGGAACAGGCCACGCCUGUCGAGUAAAAACCUGCCUGUCCUAAUCCUGCAGCCAGUGAGGCCUCCUGUUCCUAAAAUCCUACUCUGCCCCCAGCUUUUCUCAGCUGACUGAAAAAUGCCACUUUGCCGCAGCUCGCGCACAAUUCCCGGUGCCCUCUCCAAGGAUGGUCAUCGUGGACCUGGUCAGAGCAAGGCUCCACCAAGAAGCUGCUUUCUAUCCCCCUGGCACCAGGUAGGAGUUUGCAGGACAGCGGGGAGCUGACACCAGAUUGCCGGAUUUGUGGCCUGCUGUUAUCACCGUUAUUUCACACGACCGAAGCCAGCAGUGACUCCAGCGCCAACCAAGAGCAAGAUCGGGCCCGCUAUGCCCACGUCUUAAAACUUCUUUUCAUCUCGUUGAGGUGCCAGCUGAUGGGGCCAAAGAAGCUCAGGCAGUCCAUAACUUUGACCAUCCCAUGCACCUUUGGUUUGACCCAUGGCCUUGAUUUCACAAAGAUGCCCAGCAGGCCCUCUGUGCGCCAGAAGUUGGAAGCUUUAAUGUACUAUCACGCAUACGUUUUUAUAGAUUAAGCCAAAAAGAGGCCAGCUAUUUAGCUUAGUGAUUCUCAACCGGGGUGCAGUAGCUCUCUGAGGUGCCUUGGGAUCCUUUCAAGAGUGCUUUGGGGUGGGCAAACGUGGUAGAGCAGAUAUGCCCAGAGACCUCAAGCAGGGAUGCUUAAGUGUUUAAAACCGCUCUGCUCUGUUGUGGUCUCCCUGAGUCCUUUGCAAACAGAAGACUAGUCUCUUUCUGUAUUGAAAAAGGGUUUCCUGAGGGGGUCCUGUCUCAUGGGGUUGAGAACUGACCUUCUGCCUAACAUGGGCUGUUGGACUGCAUCCAGGCAUGCCUGCAUUCAGCCCAGAGCUAGACCAGAGGAUGGUUUAUGUCAGAGUAUCAUCAACGACCCCAAACCAGCAGGGCAUGCAUCCAUGCAUGAACACACACAGACAUGCCAAAGGGCUGCUGUCUUGCCCCACUUCCCAGCAGCUGCAGAAACAGAAAGGGGGCUUGGACCCUACUGCUCACUCCUUAAGACUGAGGCUGCCCAACUAAUAACCGCUGUCAGGCAUCUUUCGUGCCACAGCCUCCAACCCAACAGCUCAGUCACUGAAGAAACAGUGUUUAAAACCAUUGUAGCCCCCCCCCCCCCCUCCUCCAUACUGGCCUGGGACUCAAUCCGGCAAGCCCUUACAUUGAGAUGUGUGCAGAAUCAAAUCCCCAAGCUCAACCUCGGAGGUUAAAGGCUCAAUGUUCCUCCCCCUUAUUGCUCACAAGGUUUAAAAUGCCAGCUCUUUCAGAAGGUAAGUUGUUUGCCAUCAGCAUUUGGAAUAAUCCCACCUCCUAGUUGGCAGAUACCAGAACAGGUCCAAUUCAGGAAGCAUCAGCAAGCAGCUGGGAAAUGAAACCUGUGAGCAGUGAAAGGCAGAUCUCACCAAAACAACGAGCCCCUUCAGCCCCCAGACAAGACUGUCAAAAUAAAUCUGUUCCCAAACAGUUUUUUAGCCUCAGCUACAGCUGAUUGCUUGCAAAAAGUCUCCUCCAAAGGGGUGGUCUAUCUGGAAAAGCUAUUAGGAAUAAUGUAGGGUGUGAGUUUCAAGUUGAAUAAACACUCCAGGUCAAGAUGAAAAGGUCUGUCUGCACUCUAGUAAUUUUUUUUCCCCUCUUUACUAUGAAUUAAUUGAUUUGAGUAAUAGAGAUAGCUAACGCCUAGUCAAAAUGACUCCACAAACCUUUGGGACUUAUCUAAAAGCUAAAGCAUGCAGAACCCUUGGACUCCCUGCCUUCUCCUACCAACUUGGGUGAAAUGUGUCCUGCCUUAGGACCCCUGUCCUGUUUGUGUGAUAUGUGAUGCUGUCCUCUGGUACAGGACGGUGCUCAUUCUCACCUUUUUGCCCAUAUUAUGACCCCUUUCCCUUCUCCCAUUCAUCUAGAAGGAAAGAGGGCAUUCACUACCCCCAGGGAGAGAACCCCUCUUAAUGGGUUAAUGGCACUGGUCAUUAGGAAUUGGUUCCGAUUUCAAUUAGGGUUGAAAACUGUUUUCAAGCACGGCAAAAUGCUUCCCACUGCUCUUGACUCCAAUAAUGGAGUGGAUCUAAAAGCAUCCCCCUGCCCGUGAAAACUAAUGCCUGGUACAGUUACUCCAGCAAAAAAUGUCAGCUUCCUCUGCUUCCAAGGAAGCGUAAUUGAAUUAUCAUAUACAGCAGUCAUCACUGGUACCUUUGCCACCAUAGCCCACAACAGCCACGUUGGGGGGUUCAGGUUUCUAACGAAGUCCCAUACUGGAAUGAAAAUCUAAGCGAGCCUGCCCUCCCCAACAUGUCCUGAAUACACGGACCUUUGAGGGUUUUUUUUUUUUUUUUUUUUUAUAUGCUCGUAUCAGCGCGUAUCCAGUUGUGGAAGUGAUUCAUGAGUAAGGAAACCUCAGAUUUUUGUUUCAAAGAAACCACAACUUCAUGUAAACCGUAUUACUCACAAUGUCCAAGAUCCCUUUAAGGAUUCUGCCCCUCAGAAGAUUUUGUUUUUAAAAAUGUGGUCCUACUAUUUGGGUUUAAUAAAAAAAAAAAAGGAAGAUAUAAAAUGAAGACAAGGCCAUCUGGAGAUGCAUCAUCUCUGAUGAGGCAAAUCUCUCUGCCCUUCCAGCUCUGAAACCCUGUAGGCAUAGAGCACAACAUGCACAUAAUGGGCAGGGCAUGGCUAGCUAGGCUGGCACCUUCCUUUACCCAAGGGUUCCCUGUCCAGGUCCUGGACCCUCACCCAUGAAGGGCAGAUUGGGUCAAAUGCAUCCAUUAGAGUUGGAGGGCUGGCUGUCCUUCAUCUCUAAAUACCCUCUGAAUGAAUGGGAGAUCAGAGGGGUAAUGGGCUGGUUUUGGCCACAGCCAAGACUUGCUGGUGAUGGCAGGUAAAGCAUUUUGAAGAGGUCCUUGGUUUCUUUUGGGUAAACGCACACACCCGCAACUGGCUAAUUCAGUCCAUUAUGAAUACUCCUGGCUUCUUUGCUGGCACCAUGCUUUCACAUAUCAGCAUCCAUAAGGCACGCUCUCCAUCCCCUCCAGUUGGCUGGGCAACUCCAUCCCAUCCUGCUCAACAGCAACUGCCAUUACUCAGGCCUUCAUCACCUCUCAGCCAAACAACCACAGUACCACGGAGCUGGACAGGGACCCUCGGUGCUGAUGCUGCUCCAACCAGUCCACAGCCACCUCCACAAUGCAGACUACUGUGAGUGUGUCAAACCUGCCCUUUGCACUGGUGACCUGCUGACUUUCUCUUCAAGUUCAAGAUCUCAGUCUCUAUAGCCUGGGUUCACGCCAUCUAUAAGCCUGCCAGGAUAAAGACUACAGCAAAGGCCGUACUUUCUCUGGAGCUGGUCCCAGGCUGCAAGGAACUCCCUCAGCAAUGAAAGACCAUCAGAAACCUCACCGCCUUCCACUAGGACCUCAGCACAAGGUGCCUCUCUCUGACCUUGCCUCCUCUCAUAUAAAUAGCAGCAAUUAAAAAAAAAAAAAAUAUAUAUAUAUAACCUCUUCUGAAACGAGACACCCCAUCGCACAGGUUUCUCUCCCUGGGGACAAGAGUACAAACAACACGUGAGGGAGGUUAGUGGAGUCGCUACUGAAGGUGCUGGCAUGCCAGGAUGAGUGGGAUACAAGAACCUGCGCAGUAGAAAACCACUGUGUUUCCAGGAAGGAAAGGAGGGAGCUGGGAAGUUGUGUACAGACAAACCUCUCUGCAGUGGGAUGAAAGCAUGAGAGGCUAAAGCUGCUAUUUGCAUGGAUCUUGGGGAGAGGAAGGGAUCUGUUCUCUGGGUUGGACCCCUUUAUUGAGGGAAGGAUGCAGCCCUCUCUCCACCCUGGAGUGCCAAGGGGCGAUAAGGCUUGAAAGGCUUGCAAGGAAGGUACAUCAUAGCUUCCUGCUCUUAACCACGAAUCUGGGCCUCCAGGGAGCCAGCUUAAUCCAGAUGCAACCUGGCACCCCCUGAGAGACUUCACGCUGUUCCCAAGCCUGCGCAUUCCCUCCCAAAUCCCCUGUGCAGCUCCCAUAUGCCCUUCCUAAGGCCCCAAAGCCAAGCCCCUGCCAUCUCCUCCCAGUGCAAACAAAAGGAUCAAACUGAAGACUGCUGAAUCUCCCUGCAACCCAAGAACUCCAGGCUAAGUCUGCUGGAGCAGCACCUCCCACAAGGUCGAGAAAUCCCAACAAUACAGGGCAAAAGAGGUGGGGAGCUAAAAAACCUGUUUUUAUUGAAGCACAGAGGAGCUGCUUGUUGGGGAAGGGGAUGCACCAGGCUGCCCUAUUAACCCAGGGCCAGCUUUGAAGACUUCCAAGGCAAGCAAUUAGUGAGGCCAGCCCCCCUGAGACCUACCGGAUAAAAGGAAGUGAUAAAAAGGGGCGAAAGGAAGGACAGCACCACCAGCCCUUUGAAGAUCUCUGGCCUGCAGGGGAUAAUAACCCCCCCUCAUCCCAAUGGCUGCAUGUCAGGGGUCAGGUCCAACUCCCCCCCUGGAGGGGAAGGAGUGGGUGAGGGAGGACCUCUCUGAAAGUUUCCAGUGAAUCAAGGUCGGGGGUAGCAGCCUCUGGUCUCCCUGCAGUCUGGGCUUGCAAUGGAAGGGAGCCCCAGCUUGGGCAAGGGGAGGAAGGGGUUGAUGCCCCCCUCCAGCCUGCUGCCAGGAGCUGUCCCUGGGGAGAGAGGUGCCUACCUCCUAACCCCCCGCCCCCAACCACUUCCUCUGCUUGCUAUGCACCAAGCCAGCCCUGCCAGCUCCUGCCAUUUCAAAAUAAACCCUUUGCACCUUCAUCAGGGCCCAGAAGACCAUUGCCCGCCCCGUGCCAUUUACAACCCACCCCCUUCUACCCACAGAGAGGCAAAGUGGGGUGCAAGCCCCCCCCAGCAAGGCACCUACAUGACAGCCCUCCAGUGCCCCCCUCGCUGGGAAGGGAAGCAAU